Molecule: ribosomal RNA, 254 nt
Filed under: uncultured bacterium
Lineage: Bacteria
Description: partial 16S ribosomal RNA
Rfam family: Bacterial small subunit ribosomal RNA
Source: RNAcentral
UACGUAGGGUCCGAGCGUUGUCCGGAAUUAUUGGGCGUAAAGGGCUCGUAGGCGGUUUGUCGCGUCGGGAGUGAAAACACCGGGCUUAACUCGGUGCUUGCUUUCGAUACGGGCAGACUGGAGGUAUGCAGGGGAGAACGGAAUUCCUGGUGUAGCGGUGAAAUGCGCAGAUAUCAGGAGGAACACCGGUGGCGAAGGCGGUUCUCUGGGCAGUUACCUGACGCUGAGGAGCGAAAGUGUGGGGAGCGAACAGG